UUGCCCAAAGAGUUUGUGGAUGCCCAGUCCCUGGAAAUGUUCAAGGCCAGGUUGGAUUGGGCUAUGACCAAUCUGGUCUACUGGAAGAUGUCCCCCUGCACAUGGCAGGGUGCUUGGAAUGAGAUGAUUUUGAGGCCCCUUAAUACCCAAACCACUCUAUGAUUCUAUGUUUCUAUACUGUAAUGACCCUGUAGUACCUUCCCAACAGGUCCCUUUGUUGUUGAAGUCCUCCAUCUUCACCCUGUUCUGUGCUUUGAAGAACUAACUAGCAGCAGGACCCAAAGCUCUAGAGUCCUGCAUUGCCAUGUCCUACAGAUUUUCCAGGUGCCUGAGGAGGUCCAAGACCUGAUUGAAGCUUUUCUAAUUGUUUGGAGGGUUUGUAUUAGCUCUCACAACAGGUAAGAAUAGGGGUGGUUUAGUAUUUGUUAGUGGUGUGCACAGCAUCUCUUUUCUGCCUGGAUGUGUAUUUUGUGGCUUUCCUUUGUUUCAAAUUGUAGGAAUGUCAUACUUUUGAGAUCUUAAUUCCUCUGGUAAUUUUCAUGUAAACUAGUUAGUGGGUUAAAUAAUUUUCAUCCGUGCUGCUUUAAUAGCGUAGGAAAAAGAAGUUCAGCAGCCUUUCUGCUCACCAUGGUGCUAUUUUUCUGAAUACCUCUAUUGAGAGCCACUUAUAUCUUCCCAGAAAUCUAGGCCUUUUGCCAUGCUUUAGGCCACCUAUUAAUUGAAAAUCCUCCUUCAUUAGUUAGUAUUUUCAUCACCAGUGAUUGCAGACCUUCACAGAGAGAAUUCCUUCUCUGGCAGACAGUCUCAGCUCCACUGUUUCCCUCUCCUGACUCCAGUGAAGAAGACCAGGGGUCUGUGGUCACACCGGGAUACCUUUGCAAUGCUUAAAGAUUAGAUUCUGCUCUUUGGAAGGCACAACCACCAGUGCAGAAUUUUGGGUGACUCUCUCUGUAUUCUGCAGUCUUGCACAGAUCUUGCGCUAGGUUGGGUUUAAUCAAUCACUGGAAGUGCCUGGCUCAUUCUGCUGGCUACUGAUGCGAUGUAGAAUUUGAACCUGCUUAAGAACUGAGAGAGGACCCACUGAAGUCACUACAAAUCACCCCUCUAACUUUGGUGGACUUUGUUUCAGCAUCUGUUUAAUCUUUUCUACUAGCUCAAAGUUGUACACUCUGGUUGUGGCCACAGGCAAUGGAAGGUACUAUUUUUAACAUUCAUUUUUUGUGUUGUGGUAAUAUGUGAAUUCUAAUGGGCAGCCAAAACCCAGUGUGCCAGACAGUCCUGUGCAAACAAAAUGUCAUCACUGUUAGAUUAAAACCAGUAUAAAAAAAUCAACACCUGGAUGCUAUGCACAGAGGUACAGAGCACAGGAGAACCUUUUAAUAUAAUUUUCAGUCAUGUGGGUUACUCAUCUAAGUUAAUGCGUGGGAAGAUGAAGCAUGUGAAGUGAUGAUACAGAUGAGGAUACAGAAUUGUUCCUAAAAGCUCAGCAAUGGUCUGAGUUCGUGAGCCAGCAUAUUACACCUGUGCACAGAGACAGCAGACAUGGAUAAGUUUAUAAAAACAUGAUUUAGUUCUUUUGAAUUAGGCUGAUAUGUUAGAUUUUAUAAUGAAGAUGUUGUUUCUAUAAAAGCUUGAGGAGUGAUAGAUUGGAUAAAGCUUUAAUGUUAAUAUAUAGAUUUUAAGGUUGACAGCUAAGAAAUUGCACAUUUUUCACCUUAUGUAAAUACAUUAAGUAUCUUUCUGUGUUUGAUUUAAAAGCCUUAUAUUUCAGGAAAAUUCAUUCCAGUCAUCAAAACUAUGGAAGUUUAUAUAGCAUUAGAACAAUGAAUAUUUUUGUUAUAUUGUAAUCACUAAUAACUAU
Pipra filicauda (Wire-tailed manakin) is the source of this 1861-nucleotide long non-coding RNA. RefSeq lists it as uncharacterized. Lineage: Eukaryota; Metazoa; Chordata; Aves; Passeriformes; Pipridae. The record is from RefSeq and is a predicted model, not a curated record. The transcript is spliced from 4 exons.